UGUGUGUAAUUGGGUUAAAAAGCUUUAUAUCAAAGUUUCAUAGUAUUUAAAUAAUUACUUUGUGAGAUAUGAAGGAAGUUGUACACGGGUGUAAAAAAGCUAGGGUUUGAAGCUACAGUUAGGGUUUUCAAGAUAUCACAAGAUCCAAGACGAAUUUACCGUUGAAUUUUGGUGUGGUAGUUGCUAAAGAUAUAUCAGUACUCCAUGUAAAAUUUGGAGUUGUUUAGACGGUUAGAUCGUAAGUUAUAAGCUGUUGAACUUCGGAAAAAAUUCCUCAUAAGGAUAUAUAAGUUUUUU
RNAcentral lists this long non-coding RNA (297 nucleotides) under Physcomitrium patens. RNAcentral describes it as "long non-coding RNA (PPAT_LNC013342)". The record is from RNAcentral. Lineage: Eukaryota; Viridiplantae; Streptophyta; Bryopsida; Funariales; Funariaceae.